This 270-nucleotide long non-coding RNA is filed under the name Vitis vinifera (wine grape). RNAcentral's name for it is "long non-coding RNA (VVIN_LNC003230)". The record is from RNAcentral. Lineage: Eukaryota; Viridiplantae; Streptophyta; Magnoliopsida; Vitales; Vitaceae.
AUCAAUUCUACAAUUUAUUUUAAACAACGUUUUCAAGUAUUUAGUAACCUAUAUCAGAACUGUAUCAAAGUAGCUAACCCAUACAAAAUGGUUUGGCUUGAUUUUAUUAUCAAAUUCAUUUGAAAAACAGGUGUUAGACAAUUACCUAAUUAUCAUCAAAUAUGCAACUUAAUUGAAAACAACCUGACCUACUCUAUUUCCAACUAUACAAGAAAUACACAGUAAUGUGACAUGGAAUCUGGUACCUGUGUUGGGUAAGAUGCGUAUCCA